GAAAAGAUCGAAUAGCUAACGUUUAUUUUUAAACUCAAUAAGACUUAUAUCGCCCUUUGCCAGCGCUAAAACGAAAAUGAAAGUGCGCGGCGUCACUAUAUAAAAUAAACUCUGCUAGACUGACAUCAUUACAGACCUAGAGAAUCGAACGUUCACUUUAUUUUAUUGCACUUGAUAUUAAAAGUACUAAAAUGCGAGACUCAGAUGUAAAAAUCGAUCUUACAUUUGAAAAUGGCAAUAAAAGACCUGCAACUUCAAAAUGUGCUGCCCGCUGUCAAGUAUUGAUUGGUUUAAUUAUCGCCACAGCUGACCUGGUAUUUGAUUGGGUAUUCUUCCAUGACGUCGAUACCUCUAACAAAGGACCCUGGGGUCCCAUUAUUUGGUUAAUUUUACUUUUCUGUGUGGUUGGGACGUUGACAUGGGUGGUUGAGAUGUUCAACCAUUGUUUUAAUUGUAUGAAUAGCGACUUUCUCUCUACUGUUUGUGUGUGGGUAGAAGAUGUCCCCCAGAUUAUUUUAAGCCUAACAGCUGCCAUAAAACUGAAAGAGCCUGUGUUUGCGAUACAGUGGUUUAAAAUUGUACUGGUUGUGAUAAAUUUGGUCUACCUUCUAGCGACUCUCUUUAAAGGCUGUUGUGAGAAGGAAUCGCGAAGAAGCAAAAUUUGUAUGAAAAUUGGUGUGUUUAUAGAGAUUGUAGUUGCUGUUAUUUUAGCUAUAUAUGGAUUUAGAAAUUAAACUAAUACAAAUUAUUUUUACCUAUUCUUUUGCUUUAACUACAGUUGUGUUUUUUAUUUUCAAAACAUUUUAUAAAACUUCUGUUAUUAAUCUUUUACUAAGUAUAUUAUUGUAAUCUUAAAUUGUACAUCAAAAUAUAAAAAGAAACCUUGGGAUGUAUCAGUUUUUGUACUACAUUUAAAUAAAACAUCUUUGUUCUGUUUUCACUAUUUACCUAAACGCAUAUCACACUGUGAAAAAUGUAGCUAAUCAAACGCUGAACUUUUUUUUAAUGAAAAUGGGUUAUGGCAAGCUGCUCUUGGUUAGCCAGAACCAAAAAGAGUUAAUUGACAAAAAUGACGACACGUUUCGUUUUUUCGUCCACACCUCUCUCCCAUUCGAUAUACAGUGUCAGCCCCAAAGGCCCGACCACCUUCCAGUCCAAAAUGAAAUCACAUUUCAACUUACACCACCCUCCCCCUUCUCAAAUUGCACUUACUUAAAACAAAAUUUCAAAAAGUGAUUGAUUUUGAAGAUACGACCUGAUCGUAGUGAUCAUUUGAUUUAUCUCAUAACCAUUUAUACACAAGUCUUAAAAAUGCGAAAGAACUGCUAAAGUUAAUUUAGAAUUUUUUAAACAUGAAACAGAGUAACUUUAUACUUUU
Molecule: long non-coding RNA, 1378 nt
Organism: Physella acuta
Lineage: Eukaryota; Metazoa; Mollusca; Gastropoda; Physidae
Source: RefSeq, a predicted model, not a curated record